Pocillopora verrucosa is the source of this 358-nucleotide long non-coding RNA. RefSeq lists it as uncharacterized. Lineage: Eukaryota; Metazoa; Cnidaria; Anthozoa; Scleractinia; Pocilloporidae. The record is from RefSeq and is a predicted model, not a curated record.
GAUCACGCCCACUUCGUUUACCUUGUAUGAUUUUAUCGGUGGAUUGAGUCUAUACAACGAAAAAACAAACCCGUCUUGACAUAUGAAUCAAAGAGACCGUCCAUAAUACCUGCUCACAGCGGAGACGGAACAAAAUACAAAUGGCUUUCUCGAACGAAACGCGAAGAAUUCAUUUAACGAUGCAAUAUCAAGGCACUGGUGGAGUCAUUUCCAUCAAACAGAUCAAUUACCAGCUGCUGUGUCUAAAUUGUUCCAGAAUGAAGUAGCUAAAGUUGUUGAAAACCUUUUAAUAUUGUAGUACCCCCAAUAGCAGGUGGUCGGAUUCUCUAUAAUUAAUAGCCGCUUUAGUGAGAGAGAU